UGUCAGUGCAGAGCCCUACGUGGCCUCAUAAACUGUGAGAUCAUAACCUGAGCCAAGCUAACUGAGCCACCCAGGUGUCUCUAGGUAGAGCCAUUUUAAAAGGACAGAGCCUUGAGCAUGUGUUGCUAAAGCAUCUGGAGGGGACAGAUGAAGAAACCCAGUUAAGGCCUCUAUACAGAUUUUCACGAUUCUGGAAGGCAGGUAAGGAGAUCUGUUCAUUUCACAGCAACACAAGAAAAAUCUUAUAAGGUCUCUUGCUUAUUCAACCUGCCAUCUACCAAUCUGGAGUGGCUGGCCUGUUUCUUCAGUCUUUCCUUGGCCUCUAUGAAUGGGGGCCAUUGUCAUGUUUCCCCUGAGAAGCUGCCACAGGUGCAAACCAACAAUACCAAGAACUCACUGUCCACUGUUCAGUUUUUUAACCCAGGCUCAUCUAUGGUUUGCAAAUGAUGCUGAGUGCCUUUUCAAAAAGGCGAGGAUAAUUCUUGUAUUAUCCAGAUAUCUUUCCUACGUCUCUGCAGAUAUUUAAUUGGCAUUGAACCUUGUUGCCAUUUUGAGGAACUAUUGUGCUACUCUUGUGAUGAAUACUGUUAUGGGGUCUGCUUAGUUUUAUAUGCCUUAGGAUAUAAUUGGAUAGUGUAAUGGCCGUACUUAAGAAUUCACUUUUAUGUAUAUUAAAGCCCUUUGUAAAGUGCUAUGAAAUGACAACAUAAUUGUUAUUGUUGUUACUCCCAACAACUGUUGAGCUGGUGCUUUCUCAGCAUAGUCACCAUGAGGAAAUACCUGGAUGAUUGAAUCCAUUCUUUGUUUUUAAAAUGUCCAUUGACUUGAAGACUUUUUCCAAGGACAGGAAGCAAAAUUUAACACAUGCUUCUAGGCUUCUCUUUAUAUUCUCAAGUAUGGUUUACAGCCUCGAGCAUGGUUGUCCUUUCUGACAGAACUAUCUUUUAUCUUCUUUUACAAGAUAAGAUUGAUCUAUUUUUUAAGCUAAUACACCACUGGCUUUAUAUCCUUGUUGUAGGCUUUGGGAAUAGGUUAAAGCUUCUUUGUGUUGCAUUAUUUACUGUGCAGCUACAUUCAAAAACACAAUGAGUAUACUGAAAUUAAUAACUCUAGAAGGGUGCAAAGUGAUAGUAUUCACAGUCAAUUAUAGAGAUGAUCUAUUACAUUAAUAUAAUACUGAUGCUAUUUGAAUGCAAUAUAGUGAAGAAAAAUAAAGUGGCAGGCUAACAGAAUUUCAGUUUUUGAGUUCAGAAAAAAAAAGAUAAAUGGUUAGCGGGCGUGGUUUAAUAGCUCAAAUGCAUAUGCUAUAAGCUCUUAUUUCAAUGUCAGCUCUUAGCAAAGGACACCAGGCAAAUGAACUUGAAUAUCCAUUUGAUUUACUAGCUUCUUAAAAACUGAAUAAGGUUUUAUAUACUUUGUAAAGACUUACUAGCAAAAAGGAUAAGAGGUGGGUUUUAAUGGAGGUAAUCCUCUAAGAAAUUACUCCUUAGCAGUUAGAAAUACAGAAAAGCAAGAUAAACUUGAAAUAAGCCUGAUAAAUCCUAUCUUACUCAUUGUCUUCACUUAAUAGGUACCUUGGAUCUGGAUUAAGCUGUGCUCAGUAGUCACCCUGAGAAAUUCUAUUCUUUAUGUAUUCUCUUUCCACUCCUCCUCUUACUGAGCUAAUGAUUACUUUCCCACCUACAAGUUAUGAAUGAAGUCACUGAAUGCAAUUAUUGGGUGGAGUUCUUGGAUUAAGAUCACGGAUCUUUAAUGAGCCUUCAUGGGUUCUAUAAAUGGUGAUUCUCAGACCUGCCUGGGCACCAGAAUCACCUAUGUAGCUGGUUAGAAAUACACAUGCCUGGGUCUCCUUCCCAUAGGAUUGAUUCUAUAUAUCUGGGAGGACCCAGGAUAGAUGUAGUUUAUGAUACAGAAAGAGGAUUGAGAACCCUUACCAUUGUUGGUUCAAAGUACAUUUUAUUAAGAGGUGGGAAUUGAAAAAAAAUAAGUAUGCUAUAACAUUAAUUUGAAUUUAUAUUAUUUUAUAUAUUUUAUGCAUGUAAAUUAAUUUUUAUUAUGCAAAUAUACCUGUAUACUGUAGAAGCAUAAGAAAAUACAGAAGCACAAGGAGAAAAAUAGUUUCAAAUAUGACCAGUUAAUUUUUUAAAAAAAUACAGAUGGACACUGAGAUUUUAAUUAUAGUAAGAGAGCAUUUGCCUUUGAAAUUAGAAAUAGAAAUCCAAGGGUGCUCCAUAGAGUUGUUGUUCUUGUGUAUUGGUUGAUGUUCUUUACUGAAGGGAAGAUCUUAUCCACCCUUUAUUCCUCCACCCAAAUAUUUUUCUGUUUUUUUUUUCUUCUUCAAGGAAUUGGCAUAUAUGAGUUUAAUAAGGGGGUUCAGCAAAGCUAAUAAUGGGCUUUUGGAAUUAUCAAUUCUGGAGACAGACCAAGCUGGUGAUGGCAGUUCACUCAUUCAUUCAUUUAUCUAUUUGACAAAUAUUUAUUGAGCACCUACUAAUAUGCCAGACACUAUGCUAUGUGUUGGGAAUAUUCAAUCCCUUCUCUGGAGAAACUUCAGACUCUAGUAUAGGAUAUAGACAGACAAACAGACUGUUUAUGUGCUGUGAAAGAUAUGUAUAGGAUGUGUUUAGUACACAGAUAAGAGAUAUCUAAAUCAGAAUGGAGAGUCAAGGGGGAUGAAUAUAAAGAAGGGACAUAAAAGCAGGGUAUCAGAGGUAGAAGACACAGAUGGCCAUUUAGAGAUUUUGGAAAUCUUCAUCAAGGGGUCUUCACUUACUCUAUUUACUGGGAAAGCUCUUCUUUGUUCCCUGAUACUAUUAUUAUUUUUUGUAGUAUUUUGGUUUCUUUUUCAUAGAUGCAUUAUCUUUUAUUGUAUUUCCAAAGGUCUCAAUAAUAUUUUGAAAUUUUCUUUUCCUUGCAUAGUUUGUUUCUUCUGAGAAGCAUUUUCAGUUUUGUUUGUUUUGGUUCCCGUCUUUCACGGUAGAGUUCACAUAGUUCUGAGAAGUCUCUUGCAAUCUCCUGCCAGAUGAAUUAUCUAUCUGCCUGACUUUCAACUUCUGUGAAGGGCAGGGGGUAAGAACAUUGGGGGUGCAGCACUCACAAUGUAAACAUUCACCAGGGAAAAGGGGUCACCCAGCUAAUCUGGUUUUAUAAUGGUGGGAUAACUGGUUCUUAAGAUUUUCCACCAAUUUUCAUAUUUUGACUUUAUUUUCACCUACACCUCAGGCAGGGGUGGGAGUGGUGCAGUCACAUGGUAUAAAUGAGGCUGCUUCUGAAAGCCCCCUUACCUGUUUUGCAUUUGCCUUCCUGUGCCUGCUGUCAGUUACCAUUUGUCAGGUAUUUACUUUCUGGCUUCAAAAUGUUUGUUAUUUUUCUCUAACUCUGCUGUUCUCUUUGUCUUUGUAGCUUUGUGUCUUAAAGCAAAGCAAAACAAAUAAAACACCACCAUUAUGAGAUGGUUUCAGGAAGGGGAGAAAGUGAAUUCAUGUAUUCUGUUUGCCUUUUGACCUGCACCUAAGUGCCUCGUUUUUGUAGGAUACUGUGCUAAGAAUUUAAUUAAUAAUAAUUCUAGGUAAAACAGGCAUUAUUAUUGUAUUACUUUUGCAGAUUGGGGAACUGAAUUUCAGAGUGAUUAAGUGGCCAAAGAACAGACAAAUGGCAGAGCUAUGGCUAAUAAGUGGCUCUCCAAUCUGUGGAGUGGUUCACAAAGAUGAUAAGAUUUUGGGCUAGCAUUGCUUCACAGACAAGCUCCUUAUCCUGUCCCUUAUCAGGGUUAACCCUGAUCCCAAACCCAGUUUUGGGGACUAUGAUAGUGAGGGCCUUGAAGAGAACAUUGGUCGUGGUAUGCCAUGCGAGAGGCCCUGUUCCCUAAAGAGCUGACUUUUAUCAGGUCUAUCAUUAGUAUGGAUUGGACUGUUUUCUGAUACAAAUUCUUUCUUUUAGGAACUUGACAAAGUUGCAUUUUGAUGAUCUAUUUUAGUAUUUUGCUAAUUAUGAAACACAGACCACCUGCUUUCAAAAUAAGGUGCUGGAAUGGAGAAUAAUAGAGAUGUAAAUAUGGUGCCUUUUAUGGGCAAAAGCAGAUUUUUUAGCAGCAUGUUUUAAAAAAUUAGAAAUUUAACAGCUGUUUUGCAAAAUAAGUGAAAUGCUUCCAUCUUGCUAAAGAAUAUGCACAGGUAAUUAAUUUUAAAGAAAAACUUGUGACCUCAUUUGACAGUAUUAGCAUCACUAAAUUAAUUAA
Long non-coding RNA from Herpailurus yagouaroundi (jaguarundi), 4237 nucleotides. RefSeq lists it as uncharacterized. The record is from RefSeq and is a predicted model, not a curated record. Lineage: Eukaryota; Metazoa; Chordata; Mammalia; Carnivora; Felidae. The transcript has 2 exons.